CCUACAAUGGCCUUGGACUCUCAGAGACCUGUUGCCACUGACUCCCUAGUCCUAGGAACCAAGGCAGGAAAGGAUCCACUGAGGCAAGAACUAUGGUCUACAGGGAGAAUUUCAGGAAACCAUAAACAAGUGGCAACUAAGUUAAAACAGCACUUCAGAACAUGGGGUUCUCUGGACAGCAGCAGCUAUACUGUAAACAAAUAAGGUGGGAUACACUAAAUGAAUGAGGCUUCCUCAGUUUCCUCAAGUACUCACCCCAUCACGAGAACAGGCAUCAUGAGCCUCGGUGGUGCACAGAGGAUGUAGCCACCCCCAACACAUGACAAUGCAUUGCCAGUUUCCUGGGACUAGAGUCCAGGACUAGUAAUUAUUAAAUUGAUCACCCUCCAAAA
This is a long non-coding RNA of Mastomys coucha (southern multimammate mouse), 392 nucleotides long. RefSeq lists it as uncharacterized. NCBI's taxonomy places the organism in Eukaryota, Metazoa, Chordata, Mammalia, Rodentia, Muridae. The transcript has 2 exons. The record is from RefSeq and is a predicted model, not a curated record.